GCCUUCGUGGUGUUACUGGAUAACACGUCCGACUACCAAUCGGAAGGUUAGGUGUUCGAAUCCCGACGAAGACA
This 74-nucleotide transfer RNA is filed under the name Stegodyphus mimosarum. It matches the Rfam family "tRNA". Rfam says of the family: Transfer RNA (tRNA) molecules are approximately 80 nucleotides in length. The record is from Rfam by way of RNAcentral. Lineage: Eukaryota; Metazoa; Arthropoda; Arachnida; Araneae; Eresidae.